This 397-nucleotide ribosomal RNA is filed under the name Sphenomorphus sabanus. Its description in RNAcentral is "partial 12S ribosomal RNA". It matches the Rfam family "Bacterial small subunit ribosomal RNA", at positions 794 to 1399 of the family's 1533-position model. Lineage: Eukaryota; Metazoa; Chordata; Lepidosauria; Squamata; Scincidae. The record is from RNAcentral.
GCUUAGCCAUAAACACAGAUAAUAAUAAUACAAUAUUAUCCGCCAGAGAACUACAAGCGAAAAGCUAGAAACUCCAAGGACUUGGCGGUGCUUCAAAUCAACCUAGAGGAGCCUGUCCUAUAAUCGAUACCCCACGCUUUACCUUACCACCCCUAGCCAGUCAGCCUAUAUACCGCCGUCGAAAGCCUACCUUAUGAAAGAAGUAAAGUAAGCAAAAAAGUUAAUAACUAACACGUCAGGUCAAGGUGUAGCACACGAGGUGGCAGAGAUGGGCUACAUUAUCUAAACAACACACGAAUAGUAUAUUGAAAAAUAUGCCUGAAGGCGGAUUUAGUAGUAAAACAAACAAGAAAACUUGUCUAAAACCUGCUCUGAAGCGCGCACACACCGCCCGUCA